RNAcentral lists this ribosomal RNA (411 nucleotides) under uncultured Helicobacteraceae bacterium. RNAcentral's name for it is "bacterial SSU rRNA". It matches the Rfam family "Bacterial small subunit ribosomal RNA", at positions 506 to 916 of the family's 1533-position model. The record is from RNAcentral. Lineage: Bacteria; Pseudomonadati; Campylobacterota; Epsilonproteobacteria; Campylobacterales; Helicobacteraceae.
UGUCAGCCGCCGCGGUAAUACGGAGGGUGCAAGCGUUACUCGGAAUCACUGGGCGUAAAGCGCGCGCAGGCGGGUUUGUAAGUUGGAAGUGAAAUCCACUGGCUUAACCAGUGAACUGCUUCCAAAACUACUUACCUAGAGUCUGGGAGGGGAAGAUGGAAUUAGUUGUGUAGGGGUAAAAUCCGUAGAGAUAACUAGGAAUAUCAAAAGCGAAGGCGAUCUUCUGGAACAGUACUGACGCUGAGGCGCGAAAGCGUGGGGAGCAAACAGGAUUAGAUACCCUGGUAGUCCACGCCCUAAACGAUGAAUGUUAGUCGUCGGUAUGCUCGUCAUAUCGGUGAUGCACUUAACAGAUUAAACAUUCCGCCUGGGGAGUACGGUCGCAAGAUUAAAACUCAAAGGAAUUGACGG